Molecule: ribosomal RNA, 1172 nt
Filed under: uncultured bacterium
Lineage: Bacteria
Description: bacterial SSU rRNA
Rfam family: Bacterial small subunit ribosomal RNA
Source: RNAcentral
CCUACGGGAGGCAGCAGUCGAGAAGCUUCGGCAAUGGGCGAAAGCCUGACCGAGCGAUGCCGCGUGAGCGAAGAAGGCCCUAUGGGUUGUAAAGCUCUGUCAGAUUGGGAAGAAAGCUUCGGGGUUAAUACCCCCGAAGUGUGACGGUACCAUCAGAGGAAGCACCGGCUAACUCCGUGCCAGCAGCCGCGGUAAUACGGAGGGUGCAAGCGUUGUUCGGAUUCACUGGGUAUAAAGGGUGCGUAGGCGGCCUGUUAAGUCAGGGGUGAAAUAUGAUGGCUCAACCGUCAAACUGCCCCUGAAACUGGCAGGCUUGAGUCCGGGAGAGGUUGGUGGAAUUCCAGGUGUAGCGGUGAAAUGCGUAAAUAUCUGGAGGAACACCGGUGGCGAAGGCGGCCAACUGGCCCGGUACUGACGCUCAGGCACGAAAGCAUGGGGAGCGAACGGNAUUANAUACCCCGGUAGUCCAUGCCGUAAACGAUGGAUACUAGGUGUUGGAGGAGUCUACCCCUUCAGUGCCGCAGCUAACGCAUUAAGUAUCCCACCUGGGGAGUACGAUCGCAAGGUUGAAACUCAAAGGAAUUGACGGGGGCCCGCACAAGCGGUGGAGNAUGUGGUUUAAUUCGAUGCAACGCGAAGAACCUUACCUGGGCUUGACAUGCAGGGGACAGGUGUAGAAAUACAUCUUUCUUCGGACUUCUGUACAGGUGCUGCAUGGCUGUCGUCAGCUCGUGUCGUGAAAUGUUAGGUUAAGUCCUGCAACGAGCGCAACCCCUGUCUUCAGUUGCCAUCAGGUAAUGCUGGGGACUCUGGAGAGACUGCCGGUGACAAACCGGAGGAGGUGGGGACGACGUCAAGUCAUCAUGGCCCUUACGCCCAGGGCUACACACGUGCUACAAUGGUCGGUACAGUGGGCAGCGAUACAGUGAUGUGGAGCGAAUCCCAAAAAGCCGGCCUCAGUUCGGAUCGGAGUCUGCAACUCGACUCCGUGAAGUUGGAAUCGCUAGUAAUCGCGUAUCAGAACGACGCGGUGAAUACGUUCCCGGGCCUUGUACACACCGCCCGUCAAGUCAACCGAGUUGGUUGCACCCCAAGUCGCUGAGCUAACCCGUAAGGGAGGCAGGUGCCCAAGGUGUGAUUGGCGAGGGGGACUAAGUCGUAACAAGGUAACC